Molecule: long non-coding RNA, 413 nt
Organism: Rhopalosiphum padi (bird cherry-oat aphid)
Lineage: Eukaryota; Metazoa; Arthropoda; Insecta; Hemiptera; Aphididae
Exons: 4
Source: RefSeq, a predicted model, not a curated record
GGGAACGGGAAAAAAAUACACCAUAGAAUAAUGUGUAAAAUGUAUUUAUAAUGUUAUAUUACCUUAUUAAUAUAGGAGCGCAGAAGAUAAUUCCUCUAGUAAAUGUUUUUAUAAAAGCAUAUAACGAAGGAACUAUUGCUACUUGUCAUAAUACACCAGGCUUAUUUUGUAAUGGUUACGCAAGGAAUGAAUUAAAUUAUUUAUUGACGAAUUGAUGGAAAUUAAGAAGAAGUAUCUAUUUGUUUAGUAUGCUGUACUUAUAUAACUUAUAUAGAAUACAAUAAAAUUAUUGUAAAAUAAUACAUUCACAAAUAUGUUUUUUUAGCACUUUACAAUAUAUUAAUUACUAUAUCAAGCACUCAUAACCAGAAAGUUUCAAUGUGGAAAAAAUAUGCUUUAAUAAAUUAGACGAU